RNAcentral lists this ribosomal RNA (275 nucleotides) under Schmidingerella taraikaensis. RNAcentral describes it as "partial Bacterial large subunit ribosomal RNA". It matches the Rfam family "Bacterial large subunit ribosomal RNA", at positions 657 to 930 of the family's 2925-position model. Lineage: Eukaryota; Ciliophora; Spirotrichea; Tintinnida; Rhabdonellidae. The record is from RNAcentral.
UAGGUGUAGGCGUAGCGAAAGCGAGUCUUAAUAGGGCGCAUGAGUUCGUGGGAUCAGACCCGAAACCGAGUGAUCUAGGCAUGGCCAGGUUGAAGGUGCAGUAACAUGCACUGGAGGACCGAACCCACAUCUGUUGAAAAAGAUCGGGAUGAGCUGUGCCUAGGGGUGAAAGGCCAAUCAAACUCGGAGAUAGCUGGUUCUCUGCGAAAUCUAUUUAGGUAGAGCGUCGUACGAAUACCCCGGGGGGUAGAGCACUGGAUGGGUAAUGGGGCCCC